Molecule: ribosomal RNA, 468 nt
Filed under: uncultured bacterium
Lineage: Bacteria
Description: partial 16S ribosomal RNA
Rfam family: Bacterial small subunit ribosomal RNA
Source: RNAcentral
GACGAACGCUGGCGGCGUGCUUAACACAUGCAAGUCGAACGGAAAGGCCCUGCGUUUGUGGGGUGCUCGAGUGGCGAACGGGGGAGUAACACGUGAGUAACCUGCACUUGACUUUGGGAGAACAUCAGGAAAAUGGGGCUAAUACCGGAUAGGAGAUCCUGAAGCAUGGGGGGGGUUGGAAAGUUUCGGCGGUGGUGGAUGGACUCGCGGGUUAUCAGCUUGUUAGUGGGGUAGUGGCUGACCAAGGCUGUGAAGGGUAGCCGGCCUGGGCGGGUGACCGGCCACAUUGCGCCUGCGAUACGCAGCAGACGCCUACGUGAGGCAGUAGUCGGGAACAUUACGCAAUGGGCGGACGCCUGAUGCGGCAGCGCCGCGUUCGUGAUGCCGUCCUUCGGGUUGUAAACCGCUUUCGCCUUUGCCGAAGCGUGAGUGACGGUAAUGGGUAAAGAAGCACCGGCUAACUACGUG